CCUACGGGGGGCAGCAGUGAGGAAUAUUGGUCAAUGGCCGGAAGGCUGAACCAGCCAAGUCGCGUGAGGGAAUAAGGCCCUAUGGGUCGUAAACCUCUUUUGUCAGGGAGCAAAGGCGUCCACGUGUGGACGAAAGGAGAGUACCUGAAGAAAAAGCAUCGGCUAACUCCGUGCCAGCAGCCGCGGUAAUACGGAGGAUGCGAGCGUUAUCCGGAUUUAUUGGGUUUAAAGGGUGCGUAGGCGGAGUGUCAAGUCAGCGGUAAAAUUUCGGGGCUCAACCCCGUCGUGCCGUUGAAACUGACACCCUUGAGUGAGUGAGAAGUAAGCGGAAUGCGUGGUGUAGCGGUGAAAUGCAUAGAUAUCACGCAGAACGCCGAUUGCGAAGGCAGCUUGCCGGCGCUCAACUGACGCUGAGGCACGAAAGUGCGGGUAUCGAACAG
RNAcentral lists this ribosomal RNA (440 nucleotides) under uncultured bacterium. RNAcentral's name for it is "bacterial SSU rRNA". It matches the Rfam family "Bacterial small subunit ribosomal RNA", at positions 338 to 775 of the family's 1533-position model. The record is from RNAcentral.